AUGACGGAGUCCAUCCGGGAGCUGCGCGGGUGGCUCAUGGUGCUGGCCACCGUCAUCGCCUCCAUCACCUACGCCUCCGGCCUCAGCCCGCCGGGCGGCUUCGAGAGGGUCAAGACGCCGAUGCUCGACGACCCCAAGAGGCCGCCGGCCGCCUCCGGGACGCAGAUGCUCCCCUCCCUCUACCUCGCGAGCCCGGCGAGGUGCAGGGUCUUCUGCUACGCCAACACCGCCGCCUUGGCGCUCUCGCUCUCCCUCAUCCUGCUGCUGGGCAGCCAGGACCUGCGCCGCCUGGCCAGGGUCAAGGCCCUCGAGAUCCUCGUCGCGCUCGACGUCGUGGCGCUGCUGGUCGCCUACCUCGCCGGCGCCGGCUCGUUCGGCGACCUGCAGCUCGUGGUCUGCGCCGGGGUCGUCCUCGUCGUGCCGCUGGCCCUCGUAGCCAUGUCGUCGCGCCUGUGCGGGAACUACUUCUGGGAUGAACUCUGA
This 483-nucleotide ribosomal RNA is filed under the name Triticum aestivum (bread wheat). RNAcentral's name for it is "partial small subunit ribosomal RNA". Lineage: Eukaryota; Viridiplantae; Streptophyta; Magnoliopsida; Poales; Poaceae. The record is from RNAcentral.